ACUGGUCUCGCAGCCUUUAUAGAAUUCCUCCUCACAAAGAACAAUGUAGUUCUGGAGCUUCUGACGUCAAGUUUCGCCAUGCUACAGGGGGCUUGUUUCUUGCAGAUUGGUUUUGUCCUGUAUCCCACAAACAUAGAACAUGCAUGGGACCUGAAUGAUCCUAACAACUCUAUGAUUUUUUCCACACUCUUUGGUGCUUAUUAUGCAUCGAUCUAUGUCAUCAUUGGAGUUAAUUAUGCUCUUGUUAGCUGCUUUCUUUUUCCUAAGGUUCAUUAAGUUGAAACUAAGCAAGCCCUGCCCCUCAGAAAUUCAAUCUCUGAAAAAUUAUGAACAGCACGAAGACUCAGAAGACGAUAUGUGAUUUUUGUGUCCAGUUUCUUCAGUUCUCCAAGAGAAAAAGUUGACCAAGAUAUUUCUAUUUUUUUCUCCAUCUUUAUUAAAUUGGGUAUUUAGUAUUUAAAUUUCUUUUUUUUUCCUUUUCUCCAUCUUUAUUAAAUUGGGUAUUUCGUAUUUAAAUUUCUUUUUUUCCUUUUCUCCAUCUUUAUUAAAUUGGUUAUUUCUU
RNAcentral lists this long non-coding RNA (562 nucleotides) under Rattus norvegicus (Norway rat). RNAcentral's name for it is "long non-coding RNA NONRATT006523". Lineage: Eukaryota; Metazoa; Chordata; Mammalia; Rodentia; Muridae. The record is from RNAcentral.